Molecule: ribosomal RNA, 218 nt
Filed under: uncultured bacterium
Lineage: Bacteria
Description: partial 16S ribosomal RNA
Rfam family: Bacterial small subunit ribosomal RNA
Source: RNAcentral
AACCUGCCCUAGACAGGGGGAUAACUAUUGGAAACGAUAGCUAAGACCGCAUAGGUACGGACACUGCAUGGUGACCGUAUUAAAAGUGCCUCAAAGCACUGGUAGAGGAUGGACUUAUGGCGCAUUAGCUGGUUGGCGGGGUAACGGCCCACCAAGGCGACGAUGCGUAGCCGACCUGAGAGGGUGACCGGCCACACUGGGACUGAGACACGGCCCAG